GACGAACGCUGGCGGCGUGCCUAAUACAUGCAAGUAGAACGCUGAAGAGAGGAGCUUGCUCUUCUUGGAUGAGUUGCGAACGGGUGAGUAACGCGUAGGUAACCUGCCUGGUAGCGGGGGAUAACUAUUGGAAACGAUAGCUAAUACCGCAUAAAAUUGAUUAUUGCAUGAUAAUUAAUUGAAAGAUGCAACUGCAUCACUACCAGAUGGACCUGCGUUGUAUUAGCUAGUUGGUGAGGUAACGGCUCACCAAGGCGACGAUACAUAGCCGACCUGAGAGGGUGAUCGGCCACACUGGGACUGAGACACGGCCCAGACUCCUACGGGAGGCAGCAGUAGGGAAUCUGCGGCAAUGGGGGGAACCCUGACCGAGCAACGCCGCGUGAGUGAAGAAGGUUGUCGGAUCGGAAAGCUCUGUUGUAAGAGAAGAACGGGUGUGAGAGUGGAAAGUUCACACUGUGACGGUAUCUUACCAGAAAGGGACGGCUAACUACGUG
This 497-nucleotide ribosomal RNA is filed under the name uncultured bacterium. RNAcentral's name for it is "partial 16S ribosomal RNA". It matches the Rfam family "Bacterial small subunit ribosomal RNA", at positions 28 to 507 of the family's 1533-position model. The record is from RNAcentral.